Molecule: non-coding RNA, 408 nt
Organism: Thamnophis sirtalis
Lineage: Eukaryota; Metazoa; Chordata; Lepidosauria; Squamata; Natricidae
Source: RefSeq, a predicted model, not a curated record
AAAUUUUCCUACAAAUCCUGAAGCUAUUGAGUAUACCAUUUUAAAAAUGGUUAACAUUUUUAAAUAGUAAUUUGACAUGUGUUUGUUUUUUUUUCAUUCACAGCAUAUAGCACUUUCUAUGUUGUUGGGUUAAUAUUAUCCAUGCAGAUACCUUUUGUUGGAUUUCAGCCAAUUAGGACAAGUGAGCACAUGGCAGCUGCAGGUGUGUUUGCUCUUUUACAAGCCUAUGCUUUCCUGCAGUAUCUGAGAGAAAGACUAACAAAGCAAGAAUUUCAGGCGUUAUUCUUCUUAGGUAUAUCAUUGGCUGCUGCAGUUGUAUUCCUGAGCGUUAUCUAUUUAACAUAUACAGGUUACAUUGCACCAUGGAGUGGCAGAUUCUAUUCAUUGUGGGAUACUGGGUAAGCAUAA